Molecule: ribosomal RNA, 253 nt
Filed under: uncultured bacterium
Lineage: Bacteria
Description: partial 16S ribosomal RNA
Rfam family: Bacterial small subunit ribosomal RNA
Source: RNAcentral
UACGUAGGGCGCAAGCGUUGUCCGGAAUUAUUGGGCGUAAAGAGCUCGUAGGUGGCUUGUCGCGUCUGCCGUGAAAGCCCAUGGCUUAACUAUGGGUCUGCGGUGGAUACGGGCAGGCUAGAGGCUGGUAGGGGCAAGCGGAAUUCCUGGUGUAGCGGUGAAAUGCGCAGAUAUCAGGAGGAACACCGGUGGCGAAGGCGGCUUGCUGGGCCAGUUCUGACGCUGAGGAGCGAGAGCGUGGGGAGCGAACAGG